This 1165-nucleotide unclassified non-coding RNA is filed under the name Hevea brasiliensis (rubber tree). The record is from RNAcentral. Lineage: Eukaryota; Viridiplantae; Streptophyta; Magnoliopsida; Malpighiales; Euphorbiaceae.
GAGGACAUUUGUUGCAUCUUCCUCUCUUGGCUGAACUGGAUUAUAAUAUAGCAUAUCGACCACCAUGUUUCACCGCCGGAGCAAUUCCCAUCGGGAUCAGGAGGAUGAUUCACUGCGACAUGAGUCUAAGGUCAAUGAGCUAAGGAAUGCAAUUGGGCCAAUAACAGGACGCAGUUUACAAUAUUGCACUGAUGCAUGUUUGAGAAGAUAUCUGGAAGCUCGUAGCUGGAAUGUGGACAAAGCGAAGAAAAUGCUGGAGGAGACACUUAAAUGGAGAUCGACUUAUAAGCCUGAAGAGAUUCGUUGGCAUGAGGUUGCUAUUGAAGGGGAAACAGGUAAAGUGUAUAGAGCAAAUUUUCAUGACAGACAGGGAAGAACUGUACUUAUACUGAGGCCAGGAAAGCAGAAUACAAAAUCAUUAGACAAUCAGCUCCGACAUUUGGUGUAUCUCUUAGAGAACGCCAUACUUAACCUUCCAGAGGGCCAAGAACAAAUGGCAUGGUUGAUAGACUUCACUGGAUGGUCGAUAAGCAAUAGUGUGCCCAUCAGAACAGCUCGUGAUACUAUUAAUAUACUACAGAACCACUAUCCUGAGAGGCUAGCCAUAGCAUUUCUGUACAAUCCUCCACGGAUUUUUGAAGCAUUCUGGAAGAUUGUGAAGUAUUUCUUGGAUGCCAAAACAUUCCAGAAGGUGAAGUUUGUGUACCCUAAGAAUGUUGAUAGUGUAGAACUUAUGAGGUCAUAUUUUGAUGAUGAAAAUCUGCCAACUGAGUUUGGGGGAAAAGCCAUGUUGGAGUAUGACCAUGAAGAGUUCUCAAGAUUAAUGACUCAAGACGAUGUCAAGGCUUCCUCGUUCUGGGGAUUUGACAAUAAACAUCAACAAGCUACAAAUGGGCAUCAUGGUGCUGAGGUGGCUCCAGAGCCAAUGGCGUAGUUCCCCCAGCUAUCUAGCUUCCCAUCUUCAGUGAGUUAGUGUAGUGGAAGCAUAAAUCCACCUUGGUAUGUAAGAUUUUGAACGUGAGCCAGCUAGCGGAUAGGUAAUGAUCUUUAAUUUUGCCAACAAAAGCUAUCAGCAAUGUUUGUGGGCUUCUAGCUAGAAUAAUGGAAAUGCUGCCAUCUUUUAUUACUAAAAGGGAGCCUUAUGUUUUUUUUUUUUAAAAAGAAA